CAAAUGGAAACACAAGAUAAUUAAUGACAAGACGCAGGACACUUAAACUGGUCCCCUGUUGUGUUCACUUAUCGCUACACUGACGGUGCGAAGCUACAUUGUAUAGAUGGAACGGCGGACCAGUUUAUAUGACACUGAUCUGUAAUUUUGUAUAAUAUGAUCACUUGGUAUUUCUCUCUAUGUACGUGCAACGAAGAUGACAGACAGUGGACAUCAAAAGGAGGAAAGACAGGUUAAACAUAGACGGGAUAGUUUUCCAGUUUCGUUUAUGAAACAUUCAUCACAGUUCAAGAAAUUGGAGGUCACCAGACUCUUCUAUCAAAAGGAUUUUUUUUUUAAAGAAACACAAAAGUUUAGAAGGCAGACAAAAUGGCAGAAGUUACUACAACCACAGAGAACAUUAGUGAAGGAUACAUUUUGAGGGAAAUCUUUAGAGAUAGCUUUGGUUGAACGGAAUAAUGGAAACAUGUAUUUGGGAAUAUUACAUUUACAAAGAUGAUUGUUCGAAAAGUUCAGAAGAGUUUGAAGAUGAAUAAUUCCAACUACAGAUCUGCAUGUCACUAAAAGAUCAGAUUACUAAACGAUUAGUAUCAGAUGCAUUAUAACGAAGCUUCAAGUUGUCUCUCAGUUUGUCUGUAAUAAAUAAGACCGUUGGAAUUUUCUUAUAAAUUCUUUUAAUUUUGUAUCAUGUAAUACUUUUAAGAUUAUUCAUAUAUAGAACAAAAUUCAUAUUGAAUGUAGAAUACAUUUAUUCUGUGUCUCAGCCUCACCAUACAGAUAACUUUACUUCAAAAUAAAUUUAUUUUAUAUUUUAUUAUAAUCCGAAAUCGCAUUCAAAUAGAAUUAAUUUAUUCUGUGUCACAGC
Molecule: long non-coding RNA, 865 nt
Organism: Mytilus trossulus (common blue mussel)
Lineage: Eukaryota; Metazoa; Mollusca; Bivalvia; Mytilida; Mytilidae
Exons: 3
Source: RefSeq, a predicted model, not a curated record